Molecule: ribosomal RNA, 159 nt
Filed under: uncultured Thelephorales
Lineage: Eukaryota; Fungi; Basidiomycota; Agaricomycetes; Thelephorales
Description: 5.8S ribosomal RNA
Rfam family: 5.8S ribosomal RNA
About the family: 5.8S ribosomal RNA (5.8S rRNA) is a component of the large subunit of the eukaryotic ribosome. It is transcribed by RNA polymerase I as part of the 45S precursor that also contains 18S and 28S rRNA. Functionally, it is thought that 5.8S rRNA may be involved in ribosome translocation.
Source: RNAcentral
UACAACUUUCAGCAACGGAUCUCUUGGCUCUCGCAUCGAUGAAGAACGCAGCGAAAUGCGAUAAGUAAUGUGAAUUGCAGAAUUCAGUGAAUCAUCGAAUCUUUGAACGCACCUUGCGCUCCUUGGUAUUCUGAGGAGCAUGCCUGUUUGAGUGUCAUG